Molecule: long non-coding RNA, 465 nt
Organism: Haliotis rubra (blacklip abalone)
Lineage: Eukaryota; Metazoa; Mollusca; Gastropoda; Lepetellida; Haliotidae
Exons: 2
Source: RefSeq, a predicted model, not a curated record
UCGGGACAGGAAGUUUAUGACAAAGUUAGAGAAAUGUUCCCUGAUCAUGCAUCUCACAUCACAGGGAUGCUGUUGGAGAUGAGGACGUCACAGUUGCAGCAUCUUCUCUCUGAUGACCCAGACCGACUGAAUCUGUACAUCCACUGGGCCUACCAAACCCUACAGCAGUACCAUGCCCAGUCCUGAGGACAACACAAGCACAGAUAGUCUCUUUAUGUCACAUAUACAUCAUGCUUUCAUACCUUGUAAGACAUGAAUUGAAUCUAGCACCCUUUCCUAUUCGAGGUACUAACUAUUAGUGACUCAGACUAACAUUGAAAGAUGGAACGGCAACCACUUGUUUGUACAAACUUCAAAACACCUGGCCAAAAUGGGGUUUGGUCAUGACAUGUUUCAUUAUAUUAAGCUGUGAUCUUGGAAUCAGUGUGUAGGGUAGGCAGCCUGGAGGCUGCAGCAUAUGCUGCA